GUGACACGGGUAUUGGCGCGGGUAUGCCCCGCGAAUUCUCAGGCCGUCGACGCCGCUGCUCCUCAUCCUUUUUAAGGCACUAUCUGUCAUAAUGACCUUGCUGAGUCCCAGCUGGCUGAUUUGCAGAAAGUGAAGGUAGAACUAAUUUGUCAAGCUAGCGCGACGUGGCGGCGGAUCCGGGACGUGAUUUACACCAAAUGAUUCCCAAAGAAAUCGUAAAAGCCUGGGAGACAGGGUCAGCAAUUUAAAAGACGAUGGUUUUUUUCUUUCUUUGUUCUUGUUUUUAAUCACGUUAGGUUAUAUUGCAGCGUGAUUGAAGAAAUACUAAAACCUCCCGCUUCCCUCUUAACUUGAGGCUUUCUGUUGCGUCAGUUCAUCUGGGCCGAAGGAGGGAAAUCGAGAAGGCAAUCUCGAUUCUUGCGUCAAAAGACCGACAGCUAUUCAGCCUGAUCUUCGCACACACUUACCCCAAGCACUAAUCCAGAAAUGCAUGGCAGCCUGUGUCCGUCCCUUCACGCUGACAAACGUAAUUGGGUUUUAAAUGCAGGAAUCUAGCCAAACACGCUAAACUUCUGGGGACAGCAGAGGUUUCGCAAUAGCGUGGAGCGGCAGAGCCUUGCCAAUUGCGAGUAACUCGAAACGCAAUAAAGAAACGCACAGCACACAGGCCUAUUGGAAGGCCGGACCAGAGCUGAUUGACGGGAGGCCUGCCUUUGGAAGGCGGGAUUCCAGGUGGCCUGAAGGUUAUUGGAGAACGGGUGCAACUUACGACCAUGAUAGUUACUUUUUCGUCUACACGUGUUAUCCUGGAGCGCGGAACCACAUCCUUCCGCCUGAUAGCUUCUUCGCCAGCGAGAGAUUAUGGCAAGGUUGACUAUCCUGAGUCUGUCUGGAAGUUUUGAACUCCAUUGUCCCUGACCACUAGCCAGGUUGGCUGUGACUGAGGAGAACUGGAGCCAGCAACAUCUAAAGAGACACAGGUAAUCUAGUCUCAUUUUACUGUUCUGUAACAAAUAGAAUGCGCAAACAAUGUAAUUGCUAGUGCAGGAAUAUCUGCAUACCCUGGAUAGGAUGGCUUAUGUUUUAAAAUGUUUC
This 1095-nucleotide long non-coding RNA is filed under the name Salvator merianae (Argentine black and white tegu). Its description in RNAcentral is "lncRNA (ENSSMRG00000008258.1)". The record is from RNAcentral. Lineage: Eukaryota; Metazoa; Chordata; Lepidosauria; Squamata; Teiidae.